Molecule: unclassified non-coding RNA, 328 nt
Filed under: soil metagenome
Description: partial contains 5.8S ribosomal RNA, internal transcribed spacer 2, and large subunit ribosomal RNA
Rfam family: 5.8S ribosomal RNA (bases 1-120)
Source: RNAcentral
GAUGAAGAACGUAGCGAAAUGCGAUAAGUAAUGUGAAUUGCAGAAUUCAGUGAAUCAUCGAAUCUUUGAACGCACAUUGCGCCCCUUGGUAUUCCGAGGGGCAUGCCCGUUCGAGCGUCAUUAUACCCCUCAAGCCUAGCUUGGUGUUGGGGCCUGCUGUUACCGGCAGCCCUUAAAAUCAGUGGCGGUGCCAUCUGGCUCUAAGCGUAGUAAUACUUCUCGCUACAGGGUCCCGGUGGAUGCUUGCCAUCAACCCCUAGUUUUCUAUGGUUGACCUCGGAUCGGGUAGGGAUACCCGCUGAACUUAAGCAUAUCAAUAAGCGGAGGA